Molecule: long non-coding RNA, 242 nt
Organism: Mustela erminea (ermine)
Lineage: Eukaryota; Metazoa; Chordata; Mammalia; Carnivora; Mustelidae
Exons: 2
Source: RefSeq, a predicted model, not a curated record
AUUAUAAGACCUUAAAUAAAUAAACAUUCAAGAAUCCAUAAUGAUACUCAAAAGAAUGCUUUGUCAUGUCCUAGAAAAUUGUUGUUUCAAGGGCCAUGUGGAAACUGCAACUCCUGCCAUUAUUGAUGUUAAAUAUUUAUCAAACAAUCCUACCAUUCCUCAUUGUUGGGCUUAUACCCAGCACAGGGUCAGGGUCAGCAAUCAAUCACUAUUUGUGGAAUAAACAAAAUAAUUCAUUUCUU